GUGGGGAAUAUUGGACAAUGGGCGCAAGCCUGAUCCAGCAAUGCCGCGUGCAGGAAGAAGGCCUUCGGGUUGUAAACUGCUUUUGUACGGAACGAAACGGUCCUGGUUAAUACCUGGGGCUAAUGACGGUACCGUAAGAAUAAGCACCGGCUAACUACGUGCCAGCAGCCGCGGUAAUACGUAGGGUGCGAGCGUUAAUCGGAAUUACUGGGCGUAAAGCGUGCGCAGGCGGUGCUGUAAGACAGGCGUGAAAUCCCCGGGCUCAACCUGGGAAUUGCGCUUGUGACUGCAGUGCUGGAGUACGGCAGAGGGGGAUGGAAUUCCGCGUGUAGCAGUGAAAUGCGUAGAUAUGCGGAGGAACACCGAUGGCGAAGGCAGUCCCCUGGGCCUGUACUGACGCUCAUGCACGAAAGCGUGGGGAGCAAACAGGAUUAGAAACCCCAGUAGUCC
RNAcentral lists this ribosomal RNA (450 nucleotides) under uncultured bacterium. RNAcentral describes it as "partial 16S ribosomal RNA". It matches the Rfam family "Bacterial small subunit ribosomal RNA", at positions 354 to 796 of the family's 1533-position model. The record is from RNAcentral.